RNAcentral lists this transfer RNA (71 nucleotides) under Felis catus (domestic cat). It matches the Rfam family "tRNA". From Rfam's summary of the family: Transfer RNA (tRNA) molecules are approximately 80 nucleotides in length. Their secondary structure includes four short double-helical elements and three loops (D, anti-codon, and T loops). The record is from Rfam by way of RNAcentral. Lineage: Eukaryota; Metazoa; Chordata; Mammalia; Carnivora; Felidae.
ACCUGGCUGGCUUAGUCUGUAUAGCAUGUGACUCAACCUUUGGGUCAUGGGUUCAAGUCCCAUGUUAGGUG